UAGCAUGGCUAUUGUAAAAGUGCUGAUUUCUCUUCUCUUCUUCUUCUUUCUGAUCCUCAACCUAACCCUAAUAUCUCAUCACGGCACCAAUGCCCAGCAAAACUU
Long non-coding RNA from Neltuma alba, 105 nucleotides. RefSeq lists it as uncharacterized. The record is from RefSeq and is a predicted model, not a curated record. The transcript has 3 exons. NCBI's taxonomy places the organism in Eukaryota, Viridiplantae, Streptophyta, Magnoliopsida, Fabales, Fabaceae.